RNAcentral lists this unclassified non-coding RNA (372 nucleotides) under uncultured Bacteroidota bacterium. RNAcentral's name for it is "uncultured Bacteroidetes bacterium contains 16S-23S intergenic spacer region". Lineage: Bacteria; Pseudomonadati; Bacteroidota. The record is from RNAcentral.
UCACUGCUUGCGCAGGCAGUCUCGUUAGAGUCCCCGGCAUGACCCGCUGGUAACUAACGAUAGGGGUUGCGUUCGUUGCGGGACUUAACCCAACAUCUCACGACACGAACUGACGACAGCCAUGCAGCACCUCGCUACCGGUCCGAAGAAGAUCCCCUUUCAGGGACUGUCCGGCAGCGUUCGAGCCUGGGUAAGGUUCUUCGCGUUGCAUCGAAUUAAUCCACAUGCUCCACCGCUUGUGCGGGCCCCCGUCAAUUCCUUUGAGUUUCACCCUUGCGAGCGUACUCCCCAGGUGGGAUACUUAUCGCGUUAGCUUAGGCACUGCAUCUGACGACGCAGCACCGAGUAUCCAUCGUUUACGGCGUGGACUAC